GAUGAACGCUAGCGGCAGGCUUAACACAUGCAAGUCGAGGGGUAACAGGGAAGCUUGCUUCCGCUGACGACCGGCGCACGGGUGCGUAACACGUAUGGAAUCUGCCCUUUACUGGGGAAUAGCCCGGAGAAAUCCGGAUUAAUGCCCCAUACUAGACGAGAUGGCAUCAUCUUGUCUUGAAAGCUCCGGCGGUAAAGGAUGACCAUGCGCACGAUUAGUUUGUUGGUGAGGUAACGGCUCACCAAGACUACGAUCGUUAGGGGGCCUGAGAGGGUUAUCCCCCACACUGGUACUGAGACACGGACCAGACUCCUACGGGAGGCAGCAGUGAGGAAUAUUGCGCAAUGGAGGCAACUCUGACGCAGCCAUGCCGCGUGCAGGAAGAAGGCGCUACGCGUUGUAAACUGCUUUUAAUCGGGAAGAACCCCGGGAGUGUCCCGGGUUGACGGUACCGAUGGAAUAAGCACGGCUAACUUCGUGCCAGCAGCCGCGGUAAAGUCAG
This 502-nucleotide ribosomal RNA is filed under the name uncultured bacterium. RNAcentral's name for it is "bacterial SSU rRNA". It matches the Rfam family "Bacterial small subunit ribosomal RNA", at positions 28 to 529 of the family's 1533-position model. The record is from RNAcentral.